RNAcentral lists this ribosomal RNA (396 nucleotides) under Triticum aestivum (bread wheat). Its description in RNAcentral is "partial small subunit ribosomal RNA". Lineage: Eukaryota; Viridiplantae; Streptophyta; Magnoliopsida; Poales; Poaceae. The record is from RNAcentral.
AUGUGGGGCCUGCACAACCUGUUGCACGAUUUAGUGCCCGAAGAGAAAUCGAAGUUCGGCAAGCAGGAUCGCAAGUACCACAGCAAAAAACUACUUGACUUCCUGCAUAGAAAUGUCUCUGAAGACAUCAAGCCUGAAAUGAUCAAUGGAAAGAUUGCUUUAUUGGCGUCCGUCAUGCGACGUUGUGACGUGGCCAGCAAGGAGUACUCCGACAGCUUGCACCAGGUUGAUAAUGUUGUCGAGGAGAGAUCUGGCCUCAAGACUGACUGUUGGGACACUGUGACAUACGCGACAGCUCUAAUGACGUUGAUUGGAGAAUCUGUAGUCAUGCCUGAUGGGUUUCUGAAUCGCAGAUGUUCAAUUCUGCUGAAAAGGAUGCCAUACUUGAGGGGGUAG